This is a long non-coding RNA of Astatotilapia calliptera (eastern happy), 2215 nucleotides long. The record is from Ensembl. Lineage: Eukaryota; Metazoa; Chordata; Actinopteri; Cichliformes; Cichlidae.
GUACUGAUGAGGAAACAUGUUGUGCCGCCUUUGGCUUAGAGCUUCAGGAUGUCUUCUAGAAUUUGUCUACACUGAUACAGAGAUAUCAAAGCAGUACAGGUAAGUGUACCUUCCUGUUGUGAGUACACAGACAGGAAACCCUGUGGUGUUUUAGCUCACACAGAGGUAGCACACGAGCAUCUGUGCCUGAGGCCGUUUAUGGCCAUGCUGUCGACGCUAUAUUGAGAGAAGCUUGCAUGCUACCCUGUGAUGUCUGCGGUACCUGUAGAAAGAAGCGGAAUGAGAACUUGUUGCUAUUUCCUCACAUUGUAUUUAGAAGCCUACUACACUUCUGCUUUUGUCCUUUUGGUGAGAAGUGUCACACUGUUCCAUGUCUUCAUCGUGAGUCAUCAUCAUGUUGUCCUUGAAAGGAUUUUUUGUGUGUGUGUGUGUGUGUGUGUGUGUGUGUGUGUGUGUGUGUGUGUGUGUGUGUGUCGGUUAAAAAAAAUAAAUUUAAUGUCGACAACAUUUUUGGAAGCAAAGGCUAACAGUACGUAGCGGUUUAUUCAGCCCUGUCUGAUCUGUCACAGCAGUAAAUAUACAGUAAAAUGCAUGAAUAUAUGGUGUGUUUAUCUUCACCUGUUUCAGUGUCAGCCAGGUAUCAAAACUAAAGCUCAAUAAAUCCAUAAUGAUCAGAUUUACUGAGGACCGCACAGAUUCACUCUUAAAGAGACAGUUCAUCUGUUGUGUUUUCACCCUGGCUAUCUAUGAAAAAUACUUUGGUGUGAACAACCUGGUUUGGGAGAUAUCAGCUGUAGAGACGUCUUCCUUUUCUGGGAUAUGACAGAACCACAUGAAUAGGUAAAGAAAAACCCAAACUUUGUGAGAAGUAUUAUGUGGGAACUAUUUUCUUUCUCCUUUUUACACUGGCCAACCAACAGGUGCCUUCAGCCAGCUGAGAGGAACAAUACCAGAGUUUGCACUCUGUCACACCGUCACAGGUAGAUGCACACUUCCUCCUUUGUGGUAAUGUGGUUGACAGGUGUAGUUUGGUUUAAAAAAAACAGUUCCUGCCUAAAGGGCUCAGGAAAAGUUCAUUUUUAUUAGCAGAAAGAGACACUGCUGCUGAGUUUUGGGUGAUUUGAACAGCGUAAGGAAAGCGCCAUUUGCUUUUAGUUUAGUCAAGAGAAGUUCUACAACCAGUAGCUGUACAACUGGGAAACCCACACCACAACAGUCUAAUAGAAUAAUUAGCACUACAGGGUAGAGGAAAACAUCUGCCUCUUUAAUGUAUGUUCUGUAUCCUGUAUUGGCUCAUAAUUACUUUCCCAGUGUUAAAUAUGAGGUGAAGACAGGAAAAAGUCGCUCCAGUGUCAAACGGUGCACUUACAGCAAGAAAGGGAAGACUGAAAGUUAAUCCACCCACAUGCAUCUGCUGUGACAGCAAAACUAUUAGGAUCACAUAUCGCAAAUUAAACAGUGGAUGGUAAAAGUGGAUUUUCAACCUAUUUCUCUGAUAAAGGGCUAAAAAUAUACACUUUAUAUCAGUCGGUCACUUUUGCUCAGACAAAGUGAAAGCAGUUAGCAUAAAUGUGCUCCCUCUUGCAAGACAGUGCGUCUUUGAACGCUUCAACUAUGCGUGACCUCCUGCAUAGUACAGGAAAAGUGACAAUGAUUACAGACGAAAUUCCCAGCAUGUCUUUCACUUUAGGAGCCACAAGGUCAGCCUUCUUUUAUUUGCCGGAGCGGUUUGCGGGGUUGAGGAAAUGCCCCUCGCAGGGUAGCGUUACUCUGAGCGCUGCCUCAAAUCCAUCUGAUAGUUUGUUUUGCUUUACCCAGUGAUCAAAACCAGCUGCACCGGGUAACAAAAUAGGAUUUCUGUGUGUGUGUUCUCUCUAUUGUUUAGCUUUGUUUAUGUUUACAAAAGAACAGAAGAGACACUGGUAGAAAGUCACGGCGCUCUGUUGUGGGUCUGCGUGGUGACUUGAGGUCGGGAUUGUGUUUGUUCAAAAUCACUUAGCAUAUCAACUGACUGGGUUGUGCUCUCGUGUUUGGACUUUGUCAAUAUGGAAGGCCAUUAAUUUAAAAACUGAAGGUUAAAGCUGUCAGCGUCUUCAUUUUUCUUUUUUUGCUGAAUGCAUACACCUGUGGUUUACUGAGAAGCUCGAGGGGGGCGGGGGCUCUACUCCAGUCUGAAUGUGUUUUAUGUGAACAAUAAACGGCUGCAACACGAGAA